UACUCCCGCCGGCGACCGGCGCACGGGUGAGUAACACGUAUGAAACCUGCCCGUAGCAGGGGGAUAAGCGGAAGAAAUUCCGUCUAAUACCGCGUAACAACCCGAGGAGGCAUCUCCUCGGGUUUAAAGGAAGCGAUUCCGGCUACGGAUGGUCAUGCGUCGCAUUAGCUAGUUGGCGGGGUAACGGCCCACCAAGGCAUCGAUGGAUAGGGGUUCUGAGAGGAAGGUCCCCCACAUUGGAACUGAGACACGGUCCAAACUCCUACGGGAGGCAGCAG
Molecule: ribosomal RNA, 278 nt
Filed under: uncultured bacterium
Lineage: Bacteria
Description: partial 16S ribosomal RNA
Rfam family: Bacterial small subunit ribosomal RNA
Source: RNAcentral